This 253-nucleotide ribosomal RNA is filed under the name uncultured bacterium. Its description in RNAcentral is "partial 16S ribosomal RNA". It matches the Rfam family "Bacterial small subunit ribosomal RNA", at positions 524 to 776 of the family's 1533-position model. The record is from RNAcentral.
UACGUAGGGUGCAAGCGUUAAUCGGAAUUACUGGGCGUAAAGCGUGCGCAGGCGGUUUUGUGAGUCAGGUGUGAAAUCCCCGGGCUUAACCUGGGAACUGCAUUUGUGACUGCAUAGCUAGAGUACGGUAGAGGGGGAUGGAAUUCCGCGUGUAGCAGUGAAAUGCGUAGAUAUGCGGAGGAACACCGAUGGCGAAGGCAAUCCCCUGGACCUGUACUGACGCUCAUGCACGAAAGCGUGGGGAGCAAACAGG